RNAcentral lists this ribosomal RNA (463 nucleotides) under uncultured bacterium. RNAcentral describes it as "partial 16S ribosomal RNA". It matches the Rfam family "Bacterial small subunit ribosomal RNA", at positions 28 to 507 of the family's 1533-position model. The record is from RNAcentral.
GAUGAACGCUGACAGAAUGCUUAACACAUGCAAGUCUUUGGCGAAGCUGUGCUUGCACAGCCUAGCCAAGGCGGACGGGUGAGUAACGCGUAAGGAACUUGCCCUGCAGUCAGGGAUAACAGACGGAAACGACUGAUAAGACCUGGUAAAGUCAGGCGGACUCAUGUCCAGCCUGAUGAAAAGUGAUGCUGCAGGAGAGCCUUGCGUCCUAUUAGCUUGUUGGUGGGGUAACGGCCCACCAAGGCGAUGAUAGGUAGCCGGCCUGAGAGGGUGGACGGCCACAAGGGGACUGGGAUACGGCCCUUACUCCUACGGGAGGCAGCAGUGGGGAAUAUUGGACAAUGGGGGCAACCCUGAUCCAGCAAUUCUGUGUGCACGAUGAAGGUUUUCGGAUUGUAAAGUGCUUUCAGCAGGGAAGAAAAAAAUGACGGUACCUGCAGAAGAAGCGACGGCUAAAUACGUG